Molecule: transfer RNA, 71 nt
Filed under: Camelus bactrianus (Bactrian camel)
Lineage: Eukaryota; Metazoa; Chordata; Mammalia; Artiodactyla; Camelidae
Also listed under: 2 other names
Rfam family: tRNA
About the family: Transfer RNA (tRNA) molecules are approximately 80 nucleotides in length. Their secondary structure includes four short double-helical elements and three loops (D, anti-codon, and T loops).
Source: Rfam by way of RNAcentral
GAGGGUGUAGCUCACCGGGAGAGCAUGUGCCUGGUGUGCACGAGGCCCUGGAUUCCAUCCCAGCCCCUCCA